UUAGAGGUGUUUGUCCUCCUUGGACACGAAGAGUAAGCAUUCUCUAGUAACAUACAGUAGUCUUCUCAUCAGCCAUUUUGAAGCGAAAGAAGUGAAUAAGUGUCUUCAUUUGCCGGUAUGCGAAAUCUUUGCCAAGACAGAUUCUUGGACCAGCCUACAUACAUAGUCAAAGAAAGAAAACAUCUCAGGUUUUAUUAGAAAUGUAUUUCUUAAGGUUGGAACACGCCAUCCUUAAGCCAUCUCUCUGGCUUGAAAUCUUCCUCAUCUUGACCCUAAAUGUAAGUCAUCCUACACAUUGCUAUGUAGUAGAUAUUAUCUCCUUUGCUCACUCUAUGUCCAUGUCAUCAUUUUCUGCACUCCCCAUGCUCUCGGAAAGACAAAGGAAGAUCAAUAAAACCGGUUUGAUAUGGGUCCAGUUCCGGUUCUUGACAAAUGAAAUCGAAUUGAUUUAUUCAACUUUAUGUAUCGGCUUCUUCAAAAAUGGUGUUUUCUCAUUAUUAUCUGUAUUUCUGAUAUGAAUUGAUUCUUGCUGAAGGAAACUUUUUGCUCUGUGAAAAAUAUGAAUCGACACAAAAUUACCCUCCGCUCUGUAUUAAUGUUUCUC
Molecule: long non-coding RNA, 604 nt
Organism: Arabidopsis thaliana (thale cress)
Lineage: Eukaryota; Viridiplantae; Streptophyta; Magnoliopsida; Brassicales; Brassicaceae
Product: other RNA
Exons: 1
Source: RefSeq